This 253-nucleotide ribosomal RNA is filed under the name uncultured bacterium. RNAcentral describes it as "partial 16S ribosomal RNA". It matches the Rfam family "Bacterial small subunit ribosomal RNA", at positions 524 to 776 of the family's 1533-position model. The record is from RNAcentral.
UACGUAGGGUGCGAGCGUUAAUCGGAAUUACUGGGCGUAAAGCGUGCGCAGGCGGUUCGUUGUGUCUGAUGUGAAAGCCCCGGGCUCAACCUGGGAAUGGCAUUGGAAACUGGCGAGCUAGAGUGUGGCAGAGGGGGGUGGAAUUCCACGUGUAGCAGUGAAAUGCGUAGAUAUGUGGAGGAACACCGAUGGCGAAGGCAGCCCCCUGGGUUAACACUGACGCUCAUGCACGAAAGCGUGGGGAGCAAACAGG